CCCUUAGAUGUUCUGGGCCGCACGCGUGCUACACUGAGUGGAUCAGCGGGUCAGGUUGCGCGAAAGUGUUUCCUAAUCUUUAAAUCCGCUCGUGAUGGGGAUUGACGGUUGCAAUUUUCCGUCAUGAACGAGGAAUACCUUGUAAGCGCGGGUCAUCAUCCCGCGCUGAAUACGUCCCUGCCCUUUGUACACACCGCCCGUCGCUACUACCGAUUGAGUGGUCCGGUGAGGCUUUGGGAUCUGAGCGGAAAGAGCGUUUCGCUGUUUCUGCCCGGAAAACUCAGUCGAACCUUAUCAUUUAGAGGAAGGAGAAGUCGUAACA
This 322-nucleotide ribosomal RNA is filed under the name uncultured eukaryote. RNAcentral describes it as "partial 18S ribosomal RNA". It matches the Rfam family "Eukaryotic small subunit ribosomal RNA", at positions 1470 to 1796 of the family's 1831-position model. The record is from RNAcentral.